GACGAACGCUGGCGGCGUGCUUAACACAUGCAAGUCGAACGGAAAGGCCCUGCUUUUGUGGGGUGCUCGAGUGGCGAACGGGUGAGUAACACGUGAGUAACCUGCCCUUGACUUUGGGAUAACUUCAGGAAACUGGGGCUAAUACCGGAUAGGAGCUCCUGCUGCAUGGUGGUGGUUGGAAAGUUUCGGCGGUUGGGGAUGGACUCGCGGCUUAUCAGCUUGUUGGUGGGGUAGUGGCUUACCAAGGCUUUGAAGGGUAGCCGGCCUGCGAGGGUGACCGGCCACCUUGGGACUGAGAUACGGACCAGAAUCCUACGGGAGGCAGCAGUGGGGAAUCUUGCGCAAUGGGCGGAAGUCUGAUGCAGCAACGCCGCGUGCGGGAUGAUGGCCUUCGGGUUGUAAACCGCUUUCGACUGUGCCGAAGAGUGAGUGACGGUAAUGGGUAAAGAAGCACCGGCUAACUACGUG
Molecule: ribosomal RNA, 468 nt
Filed under: uncultured bacterium
Lineage: Bacteria
Description: partial 16S ribosomal RNA
Rfam family: Bacterial small subunit ribosomal RNA
Source: RNAcentral